CCCUUAGAUGUUCUGGGCCGCACGCGCGCUACACUGAUGAAUUCAACGAGCUCCUAACCUAGACCGAAGGGUCCGGGUAAUCUUUGAAAUUUCAUCGUGAUGGGGAUAGAUUAUUGCAAUUAUUAAUCUUCAACGAGGAAUUCCUAGUAAGCGCGAGUCAUCAGCUCGCGUUGAUUACGUCCCUGCCCUUUGUACACACCGCCCGUCGCUCCUACCGAUUGAAUGGUCCGGUGAAAUGUUCGGACCGCGACAAGGCGGACGGUUCGCUGUCAGCUUUGCUGCGGGAAGUUCAUUAAACCUUAUCAUUUAGAGGAAGGAGAAGUCGUAACA
Molecule: ribosomal RNA, 330 nt
Filed under: uncultured eukaryote
Lineage: Eukaryota
Description: partial 18S ribosomal RNA
Rfam family: Eukaryotic small subunit ribosomal RNA
Source: RNAcentral